RNAcentral lists this long non-coding RNA (446 nucleotides) under Coturnix japonica (Japanese quail). RNAcentral describes it as "lncRNA (ENSCJPG00005003834.1)". The record is from RNAcentral. Lineage: Eukaryota; Metazoa; Chordata; Aves; Galliformes; Phasianidae.
AUCGGGAUGAACUGGAAGUCAGUGGGAGUACACAAUACAGGAUGCAUUUCAUUUGUGUCUGCUGAGGAAUGUGAGCAAUCCUGCCUGGUGUUAUGAUCUCAGAGAGAUGCAGGAUAAAGAAAUGUACAGCUGUGAUGAGACGUUCGACUAUGUGCUUUAUCCUUCCAGAAAUUAAUGGAAGACACAUUCCUGGCACAAUAGUACCAAAUUCUGUGCAUGUUUCUUUUGCUCCCUUCGAGGCGCUAAGAAGACUCACUUUCAUUUCAAGAUUUUCCUCCAGCAAAGUAAUUUAUAGCCCUGAAAUUCUCUCUCAAAAUUUCACCAGAGACCCUUUCCAAACACUUCUUGUUCUAGUGCAGAGACACAUCCAUCCUUCAAGGUACAUUAAGGAGGAGUCAAUGACUAUUGUUGUCGCUCACCUGUGCUCUGUUAUGGCACAAACAUGA